AUCUGCUCACUGAAAUUAAAGAGCCGCAAUUCGUGCUAAGGUAGCAUAAUCACUCGUCUUUUAAUUGAGGACUAGAACAAAUGAUUUAACAUUUCAAUUAAUAUUCAUAAUUUAAUAAUCAAAUUUAUUCUAAAUGUAAAAAAACAUUUAUUUCUUAGAAAGACGAUAAGACCCUAUUGAACUUUACUUUAGUUAAACUGGGGCAGUUAAUUAAUUAUUAUUUUAAUUCAAAUUUAAAUAAAAAUAUCUAAUAUUAUUAAAUAAUCCAGUUACCAUAGGGAUAACAGCAUAAUUAUUUUUCAAAGCCCAUAUACAAAAAAUAGAUUAUGACCUCGAUGUUGAAUUAAUAACCUAAUUAGAGCAAGAUUUAAUAAAGGAAGUCUGUUCGACUUUUAAAAAAUUACGUGAUCUGAGUUCAG
RNAcentral lists this ribosomal RNA (419 nucleotides) under Stenaelurillus arambagensis. RNAcentral's name for it is "partial large subunit ribosomal RNA". It matches the Rfam family "Bacterial large subunit ribosomal RNA", at positions 1857 to 2614 of the family's 2925-position model. The record is from RNAcentral. Lineage: Eukaryota; Metazoa; Arthropoda; Arachnida; Araneae; Salticidae.